This 216-nucleotide unclassified non-coding RNA is filed under the name uncultured Clavaria. Its description in RNAcentral is "partial internal transcribed spacer 2". The record is from RNAcentral. Lineage: Eukaryota; Fungi; Basidiomycota; Agaricomycetes; Agaricales; Clavariaceae.
AUCUCUCAACACAAGAAAACUUGUUUCUUGUGCUUGGAUAUUGAAGGUUUUGCUGGCGCAAAUAACUGUCAGCUCCUUUUAAAUGCAUUAGCAGAGCAGUGUAGGACUGGCCUCAGUUUGAUAAGAAAUAUUUAUCUAUGCUGUCGCUAGAUUUCCUCUUUGUGUUCAGCUUCAAACUGUCUUCGGACUGUCUCUCUUGAGGCAAAACAAUUCAUU